GACGAACGCUGGCGGCGUGCUUAACACAUGCAAGUCGAACGGAAAGGCCCUGCUUUUGUGGGGUGCUCGAGUGGCGAACGGGUGAGUAACACGUGAGUAACCUGCCCUUGACUUUGGGAUAACUUCAGGAAACUGGGGCUAAUACCGGAUAGGAGCUCCUGCUGCAUGGUGGGGGUUGGAAAGUUUCGGCGGUUGGGGAUGGACUCGCGGCUUAUCAGCUUGUUGGUGGGGUAGUGGCUUACCAAGGCUUUGACGGGUAGCCGGCCUGAGAGGGUGACCGGCCACAAUGGGCCUGAGGGACGGCCCAGACUCCUACGGGAGGCAGCAGUGGGGAAUAUUGCACAAUGGGCGGAAGCCUGAUGCAGCAACGCCGCGUGCGGGAUGACGGCCUUCGGGUUGUAAACCGCCUUCGCCUGUGACGAAGCGUGAGUGACGGUAAUGGGUAAAGAAGCACCGGCUAACUACGUG
RNAcentral lists this ribosomal RNA (468 nucleotides) under uncultured bacterium. RNAcentral describes it as "partial 16S ribosomal RNA". It matches the Rfam family "Bacterial small subunit ribosomal RNA", at positions 28 to 507 of the family's 1533-position model. The record is from RNAcentral.